This is a long non-coding RNA of Microplitis demolitor, 2703 nucleotides long. RefSeq lists it as uncharacterized. The record is from RefSeq and is a predicted model, not a curated record. Lineage: Eukaryota; Metazoa; Arthropoda; Insecta; Hymenoptera; Braconidae. The transcript is spliced from 3 exons.
UAGAUUUUUGAAAUUUAUUCAAAUGCUAUUUUGAACUUGACUAAUUGAAGAAAUGAUGAAAGUUUUUUAAACCUACUCUAUGAAGACAAACGCAGUAAUUAUAAUUCAAUAUAAUCUAAUACAACUGAAUUAUUUAUUAUGAAAUUAAAAAAAAAUUUUGGGACCUGGUAAUUUAUCGUAAAUUUAAAAAUUAUUUAGUUGUCUUACUUCAAAUAAAAAUGAUCUGGCAUGAGUGAGUGGUCCACACAGAAGCGUUGAGUUUGAAGUAUUUUUUAAGGUUAGAAAUCAUACAUUUUUUUUCCUUCUUGGCUAUGGUCCCUAUUGGGCCACUUGCCACUAGAAAUCAUACGUUAUGUCUCCAAACAACAAUAAUCUUUGCAAUAAAACCGAAAGUGAGAGACAACCAACGAUUUUGGGAUUGUUUUUUUCAACAAAUAAAUUACAGAAUGACAAAAACUAAAAAUAUGCAUUUGUUGAAAAUUCAAAAACCUGUAGGUACUAUUUUUUUAAACAUUUUUUUUCUCAUAAUUUAUUGUUUUGAGAACAAAAUCCAAAAAUUAUUAGAGGUUGACUAACUUCAGAUUAUUUUUUUGCAGUAUUCUUGCCAGCAAAUAGAGAAACAUUAUUUUGAAAAAUUUGAAUAUUAGUAAAUCAUAAUAAUAUAUAUUUCAAGGAGUGUUUGAUAUCUGACAGUACUGGAAAUAGCAGAUGUCUGAAAAUUUGUUUAAUUUGUAAAUAAAUUACAUGCUAUUAAUUGAAACAACUUAGUUUAUUAAUUUUGCAGAUAAAAAUUUUGAAAAGUUAUUGGAGUGAGUUUUUUAAAAUUAUUUUAAAUUUAUUUUAAAAAAAUAAUAAUUUCGAUAAGUGUUAAUGUAGCUGACAGUUGGUAACUUUUUUAUUUUUUGAAUAAAUAAAUAAAAUUGAAGUAGAAUAAAAAAAAUGUGUAUUUAAGUGCUUUCUGAAAUGCGUUGCGAGCAGCUAAAGUGAAAGACAGCAGCAGACCGUGCAAGUGCAGUGUAGUAGCACAAUUUUUGCGCGAAACACUUACGUGUAUUUUUUUAAAAAUCACGAUUUUGGCCCAUUUUUACUACCUAGGGACCCUCUGCGUGGCUUCUUCAUAGAUUCUUGGUUCAUACACAUAAAUUGUAAUGAAGCUAUUAAAUUUUAAUUCUCAAAUUUUGCGCCAAAUCGAUGCUAAUGCGCGUUGCUGUAUUCAUCGUUCAAAUUUUUGUUAGAGAGUGGGCGUUUUAAUGAAUCGCAAAGUCGAUUUCUUUGUGCUAGCCAGUUGACGAGUUUCAAUAUACUUCGGUAAUUAGUUACCUAACAAGAUUUACCUUUCCGGCGAUUGAAUUUCUGUUCAACGUGAUAUGAAUUGCCCUUUUUUUUUAAAUUAAAUUUAAAUACUUUUAAAGAGUUUUUCAUUCAUACUUUUUUUUUACAUGUCGGUAAUUAGAGUUGUGUUCAAUUAUCACAUUUUACUAUUGAAGUGUGUGUGUUAUAUAAAUUUUGAGUUUUUAUUUUGAUUUGUUCUUCAUUUAGUGUAAUAUAUAUAAGCUAUUGAACGUAUAUAUAUUUUGAUAUUGACCAAUUUUGCUUUCAAAUUAUCUUGCAUUUGUUGUGUUGGCUACAUUUUUGUUCGGAUGUCUUUUAUGCACCCGCUGUAUUCAACGUUCAAGUUUAGAGAGAAGAAAGUCGUUCACUUCUUUAACGCAAAAAACGAAUGAUAAAAAUUAGCACAUGCGCCAUUCUUCCCGCAAACAAGCAAAAAUUUAAACUUUUAGAUGCCGAUCUGGUGAAAAAUCGCCUUCAGCUCAGUUAGGCAAUUAUACACUCGGGUUGUAAUGUCCUACUUUCCUCCCAUGGUGUGUAAUAUACUAAUUUGUAUUUGAAAUACAAUUCGACUUCUGAUACUUUAACAAUAAAAUUAUUUUUUUGUAACACCGUCACCGGUGUAACUUUGACGCAUUUCCGAAAAUAAAUUUAACACCGAUUACUUCAAUACUGAGAUAGCGUGUAAUUAUCCGGUGUUUUUUACAGUGGGUGUAAUAGAUUUAUGUUCCCACUUCAUCUAUAUUUCAGUAAUUUACAGCUAUUAAAGUUCAAAUUCUAUUGGGUAAUCAGUAAUUGACGACAAAGAUACAACUAAACUCGUCGAUAUAUAUAAAGCGAUACUCAAACUGAAUUCAAGUCGUUUACAAUUUUUGUGUAGUACGAUAUUCACUUAAACGAAUUUUAUUUAAAAAUAAAAUCAUGAACUACCGACAAUUCGAAUUUAUUGCAGUAUUUUUCAGUUUAUUUUUUUCUAUUGCAACUUCACAUAUAGUUCAUUUCUUGAAUAAUGAACAAUUAAAAUAUCAAUGUACAUCAACUUCUGUAAAAGUAUUUUUUACACCUCGUCCAUCUUAUGCUUCAACAAUAAUUGCUAAUCACCGCAUUAAAGAUUGUGAAAGUAACUUUGAAGUCGAUGAAGAGGCAAGAUUCAAGUUUGAUUUCAAUCAAUGUACGUCAGGAUUCAAAAAUUUUCCUUUGAUUGUAUCCGAAUAUCGUCCUAAUCACACGAACUCAAUGUCAUUAUACAAAGUAUACAUCGAUUGUCGAAAACCCGAAACCAUAACUUAUAAUUAUGUCUCAUAAAUUGGUUAAAUAAAUCACAUGUACUUAUAAAAAUUAUGAUGGUAAUAAAAGAUAACAUUUAAAAAAUUA